AACGAUCAGUAGGGGUUCUGAGAGGAAGGUCCCCCACAUUGGAACUGAGACACGGUCCAAACUCCUACGGGAGGCAGCAGUGAGGAAUAUUGGUCAAUGGGCGAGAGCCUGAACCAGCCAAGUAGCGUGCAGGAUGACGGCCCUGUGGGUUGUAAACUGCUUUUAUAUGGGAAUAAAGUGAGGGACGUGUCCCUUAUUGCAUGUACCAUACGAAUAAGGACCGGCUAAUUCCGUGCCAGCAGCCGCGGUAAAU
This 253-nucleotide ribosomal RNA is filed under the name uncultured Prevotella sp. RNAcentral's name for it is "partial 16S ribosomal RNA". It matches the Rfam family "Bacterial small subunit ribosomal RNA", at positions 275 to 525 of the family's 1533-position model. Lineage: Bacteria; Pseudomonadati; Bacteroidota; Bacteroidia; Bacteroidales; Prevotellaceae. The record is from RNAcentral.